Long non-coding RNA from Saccostrea cuccullata (small rock oyster), 385 nucleotides. RefSeq lists it as uncharacterized. The record is from RefSeq and is a predicted model, not a curated record. The transcript is spliced from 3 exons. Lineage: Eukaryota; Metazoa; Mollusca; Bivalvia; Ostreida; Ostreidae.
UGGGCCCUGGAGGUGGACAGGCGAUCAAAUAUUCAUCUACAACAAUUGGUUUUAUCGCCCAAAACAAGUUUCCAAUAGUCCACUUUGUGCGAAAAUGAUUGCUGUAGAAAGACUAGGUUGGACGCACAGUGAUUGUAUUGAAAGGAACGGAUUUAUAUGUCAAUAUCAAUCCAAAGCUACAGGACUGCAAGACAAUAUUACAGAGCUGGAUCAACUCGGAGCAACAGCGAGACACCAGGAGGAGACUUUCCUAGAACAAUGGAUGAUCUACACUGCAAUAGCUGUCCUGGCAAUAAUUACAUUAUUGUUACUUAUCAUAUGUUGCUUAUGCUGCAAAUGUAAUGAAAAGAAACACAUUAGACCUGCACCAAGUGGAAGACCAUUA